This 237-nucleotide ribosomal RNA is filed under the name uncultured bacterium. RNAcentral's name for it is "partial 16S ribosomal RNA". It matches the Rfam family "Bacterial small subunit ribosomal RNA", at positions 99 to 334 of the family's 1533-position model. The record is from RNAcentral.
CGAACGGGUGAGUAACGCGUGAGGAACCUGCCUCAAAGAGGGGGACAACAGUUGGAAACGACUGCUAAUACCGCAUAAGCCCACGGCUCGGCAUCGAGCAGAGGGAAAAGGAGCAAUCCGCUUUGAGAUGGCCUCGCGUCCGAUUAGCUAGUUGGUGAGGUAACGGCCCACCAAGGCGACGAUCGGUAGCCGGACUGAGAGGUUGAACGGCCACGUUGGGACUGAGACACGGCCCAG